Molecule: non-coding RNA, 168 nt
Organism: Parasteatoda tepidariorum (common house spider)
Lineage: Eukaryota; Metazoa; Arthropoda; Arachnida; Araneae; Theridiidae
Source: RefSeq, a predicted model, not a curated record
UAUAGAAUGGCAAGACCAUAAUCUACUCGCCAUCACCGAAUCGUGGACGUUGUAAAGAGCCUGAAAGCAAGUAAUGAUAUCUCUGUUAGAACUGUAAAAUGAUGCUCACGAGGUUAUGGGAAAUACAACAUGUUUAAUUUUAUGCAUAAUAAAUUAUUAAAUAAUGUA